This is a long non-coding RNA of Schistocerca gregaria, 12453 nucleotides long. RefSeq lists it as uncharacterized. The transcript has 2 exons. NCBI's taxonomy places the organism in Eukaryota, Metazoa, Arthropoda, Insecta, Orthoptera, Acrididae. The record is from RefSeq and is a predicted model, not a curated record.
UAUCCUUAUUGCCCAUGGGAUAUAUUUAUUUUUGCGCUUUGCUGCUGGCUCUCUAGUGAAGAUAUUUGACACCCAUUUCGUUCGACAUCUUGUCCUUCCUUCCUAAAUUUACACGCCAUCGACCAACUUAACUUUUUGCUUGCACUAUCCAUCAACUUUUCUAUCAGCUUUCUCACUCUUUUCAUCUUAUCGUCUUUAAUAAAUUGAGUCACAUUAACAAGAGGAAGCAGCUGUCCACGAACGUAUUUUCCACUACUGCUUUCCUUACUUCCCUUGCGAGGUAAUAAUGGGGAUUACUUUUAAGUAGAAUCUUGCCUUGCAACUUGUCACAUGUCUAAGUUAGCUGCGGUAGGAUCUACGGUUCGCCUUAUCGAGUAAUAACAACCACUGUGUUUCAACAAUUCUGAAAGGUUUUCCUGCUUCCUACAGAAAUUAUUUGGAAACUGCGAUCACGUUACUCGCAACAAGUGUGAUUGAUUGAGUAUGACUGCGGUGUACAGCGUUAGGGCGACGUGAAGACUGCGAAUUUACAGCACUGCCAAGUUAACAAGAGCCACAAGCGGCCCGUGAACCGCAUUAUGCCCACCACUGUUCUAUGCUGUGCACUCUGAUACUUCACUUGUAUGUCCGAUGUCAACGAAAUGCCUUUCCGUACUACAUUUAUAAUACUAUGUCGCUCUGAUGAUAAUACAUGUGAUUGAUCUCAAAUCUUAUAUAUAUAGCAGCUUUCAGUGGUCUGAAGAUGCCACUCCUCAAUCUUUUCCGAUUGAUCUGCUCCUAUUUGCUCGUCCUCUCGCUUUCAGGAUUCCAGUCGAACACACAUUCGGAGAUGUCUUCCGUGUUUCUCAGAAUGUACCUAGCCUAGCGCCAUUUAGACUCACCCUCACUCUAAUGUCCAUGGAUCUGUCCUAAGGGAUUUUCCGAAGGGCUUCAUUUGACUUAAGAUCAGGUGGAUAACUGUGCGCUGGACAUUUUCCAAUUAGGUCAUAGUUCUGCAAAGUGUCUCAUGCUUUGUUCUCUCUGUGUUCGACAUCUUUGUUGGCACUUCCAUCCACUCAGAUAGCGGUUCCAAGACAACAGAAAAGACUUGACUCUUUGUAUUGUCUUUGGUCUCGUCUCCUCGUGUGUGUAGCGUAUUCUCAUUUCUACUGUCUCCCUGGGUGUCUUUAAAUCAGUUAACUGUGCUUGCCUUGUUUUGGAGCCUUGCCGUCAAGCCUCGAAGAACAAUCAACAAGGACAGCAUAUAGCUAUGAUUCAUUCCUGCAUUUGUUUGAAAACAUUCUGAAAGCUUGAUUCGUUCUUCAACGUGGAUCUGCAAUCUCGAUACUUAAUUUUUACGGAAAUACUUGAGCUUCCAACGCUGUCCAGAGUUAGCUUCGUUUGAAACUGUCAGAAGCUACCUCGGAAUAUCCAGAUCGCACUUCCAGCGGUCACCGGAUUGUACUGAUCAUUUCACUAAAAUCUUUAGUGUGGCGAUAUAGUCCGAGCAAGAUCGGUUGACUCCGAUCCGGCUUUCAUUCUCUUUUUUUGUUAUAGUGUGUUAGACUCUAUUUAGAUUAUUCUUGGGGAAAUCUUGCUGGGAACGGGAGUAGAUCUCUCUUUACUACACAAUUACAUAUUACCGUUAAUCAGGCUGCACAAUAUUUCAUAUUUCGACCACUAACAUAGUCGUCUUCAUCAAUACGGAGAAUGGGCGUACCUACAGAAUAUAUCUGCCACCUCAGCUGGCCAAUAUUCACGCAGGCUCUUUGAAUGAUUCUCACACAUCUCCUGAGCAGUUUAAACGCUCACUAUAUUACCAUUAUCCAGCCUACACCAUCGCCCAUGCGUAGUUCGGGGCAUAACACAAAGCCCAUAAUUUAUAAACCUUACCAAGAUAACUGACUCACUCUUCGAAAUACUGUUCAAAAAAUUAGAUUCGUCAUCCGGCUAGUCGAUCAAGAAUGAGACUGACAGUUGUGAUGCUCUUAAUAACAUCCACGAAAAUUGUUUCCAACUAUCCCUUUACCUUUGCUAGAACGCCCCCUCAAUUAUGUUUCCUAAAAAGCGAUUAUCCCCUAGGCCAUGGUCCACAAAAAUACUUUUUCCCCAUCUGUUCAACUUACCAAGUUUUUUCAAGCACCUCCUUGCCAUUUUUUAAAAAUCCAUCGAUCGUGUCUCGGUGAGACUUCUCUAGAUCCGCAUUUCCAUUACUUACCUUUCCUACUUUCUGACUGUGUAGUAUUCACUGCCACAUACGUGUUCCAAAUAAACGUUUGAUCAAACAAAUAUUUUAUCGAUGAGCCUCGUGAAAUUAAGGCAACCAAGUCUAUUGUUGGUUUACAACCCAUCUCACAGGCAUCGUCAUCAGUACGAAUUGGUGAACAUCAGUUUCAUUUUUUGUGUUCGCUGUCCACUGUAUGUACUGGUUUUAUCACUGCAGCAGUUCAAUCUGCAUUACGCUUACAACGCUUGACUCCGUUAUUACUUGCAAUACCAAAUGUGUAACCUUAUUUCUAAACUGCGGUGAGAUUUUUCGUGCAAAUUAUUUGCUGUCUGAUCAGUGAAAACUUUCUCCCAGAAAAAAAAAAUAAUAAUUGUGGGAGUAGUAGUACAACAGUGGAAAAAGGAAACAAAAAUUCCAACUUUCACAUUCACAGAAGUUAGCUUCUUGCUUCCUACUUAUAUCACCCAGCACGUAUAAUAAUUCUAAGGAAAAGGUUCGUUAACUGCAGUUUACCGUUUUUCUGUAACGUUCUGUCUACUAUUUUCCUUUGGUAACCUUAUCAUGUGGUUAACAUUGUAUAUUUACCGUGCAAAAAAUGCGAUCUGUCAGUUUGGGUCCAGCCAUCUUGAUUUAUGCAUUACGUUCUGUAUAGUGCAGUUUACCGUUUUUCUGUAACGUUCUGUCUACUAUUUUCCUCCGGUAACCUUAUCAUGUGAUUAACGUUGUAUAUUUACCGUGCAAAAAAUACGAUCUGUCAGUUUGGGUCCAGCCAUACUGAUUUAUGCAUUACGUUCUUCCCCUAAUUUAUUAGCUUUCUGUUCCUUAGCCCUGUGAAGCGUGUUAUGUUGGCUAUUCGGACAUUUGAAAGCAGAAAGGCGAUGAAUAUUUCUGUCUCGAUUUCACAAAAAUAGUGAGUGUACUGCUUAAGCUGUGCGAAAAUGUGUCUGUAUUUGGUGUCUUGGGUUUUUUAAUGGAGAAGAAGGAAUCUUUUAAUAAUAUACCUGGCAAGCAUUAAGUAUCUACACCGUUUUUUAUGCAUAAAGAUGCGCAUUUUACUGGCUAAUGUUGUCGAUUGUACUGCUGCAGUGAGAUAAUAUCAUCUUCGCCGUGCCGCUUACCCAACAAUGGAAGUUGAACACCGAAAAACGGGUCUGCGCAAAACAGUUGAUUUGAGCGGCGCUACUCGCAAGAUGCGAUGGUUUUUACACAUAAAUACUGAGGACAGUCCGCGAAGGCGGGAAGGUCAAAGGGCGCAGAAACCGUGGGCGGAGUAGCCACGCCCUUCCAGCGGCCACCCAAGACGCCGCAACAGCCAACUGCUUCUCUGCAGAUAUCUUCAAGAACGCCAACACAAGUCUCAGCUUCCAUUCGGUUCGCAUUAUCUUUCCGUAUGAUUCAGAUAUGGUCUGCAGCAGUCAGAAAGUAGGCCCUUAAUUCUCAGUUAUUUUAUAUUCACGAAUUACCCUUUUUUUGUUAAUUAGUGCAGAGCCAUCACGAGAAUCUCUUUGAAAGACAAGGUAAAUCAAUGAAUCUUUGGUAUCAAAAUUAAGCUAACUGUUCCGUUUUUUAGUAUUUCUACAAGAUAGUAAAUGAUCUGUUGUAUGGUGCUUUCUAAAAGGUUUCAUAAAAAGCGUUGCUAGAUUAGAAAUUUCACCUGUCAGUAUCUUAAUUUUUUUCAGUGUUACAUAAACUGAUCUAAAUGGACACCCACACACAGACCUACACACGUGCGUGUGCAUAUGCGCAUGUACAGCCUUAUAAAAUCUUCACAUGGUUACAUGGCUUCAAUUUAUAAAUUAUCUUGGCAAGGAGAGUCAAUUACCAGCUAUUGUUAAGUGUUUCAAUUUGUAGUCGUCACCAUAGGUACAAAUCCACAACAGCAACAUCUGAUACUGGUGAAAUAAUUCGCUAUGGAUGAAACAGAAAAUAGUCAAGAUACAUAAUUAUUUCAACCCGUUACUGGUACUGAUCUUUCAAAAAUGGACCUGAACUGCCAUCUACCCACACAGCACAUUGUGACCAUUCUGAAGAUUACGAAGUAGUCGACUCUGAAUAUAUUUUAGUGGACAAUGGCUUGAGAUUAUUCACAUAAAUCUAAGAAAAUGAAAUAAAGGCAACCUAACUUAAAUGGCUGUAGCUUCUGUUUGUUAUAUGGUUGGUAAUAUUCCACAGAAUUAUCUGUUUAUUCUGUGGCUUUCUUUGUUGAAAUUUUAAGAAAUGAUUUCCUUAUUAAGUUCUAGUGCAUAAUCUGACUAUAUAACUAUAUUUUCAUGAGCCUGUGUGCUUCUCAGUUUGGUAUUUACAUUUUUAUUUUCUUUCUUACUUCCUAUGUGAAAUAACUAUGUUCACAGACAUUGUCCAUAUCUAUUAUUGAGACUAAUUUGUUUCCAUGAAGUUUCAUUUUAAAGAGAGCUUCAUUGUCACUCUAUUGACAGAGUAUGUAGAGAUAAUGAAGGACCAGUGCAGCUACAUUACUGUAAAAUUCAGCAACCCAGCAUAAUCAAACCCAGUGAUUAUUACAAUUAAUAUAUCCAGUUUUAACCACAAAAUUUUGUUGAGCUAUAGCCCAGAGUUUUCUUUUCCUCUGUUCGUUAAUUAUAUUCUUCAAGAAUAUAAUUUAAUUGGAGCAUCCACUAUUUCUCAUGUUAUUUUCACUAUGUCAGUAGUGUCUGCUACUGCUGAAGCCAUGAACUCUGAAAUAAAGAGAUACUAGCAAUACAGAUAUUCACCUGAAGUAGAUGUAAUUAUACAGCUUCCAUACUUUGUUUCUCUAUGAGCAAUAGAUGGUUAUAACAAAAAUGAAGAAUACAAAGUGGAAAAAAAACCUCAGACACAAUGUGGGACACAAAGGAAAUAUCAGAGCAAGAUCUAAUUAGUUUUUUUCUUUCAGAAAUGGUUAUUUUAAAAUAUCCUACAGCAGCAAUUCUGAAACAACACUUCUGAACAGAUGUGCUAGCAUAAAUGAUAAGUCAGCAGAACGUUGUCCUUUUUUUUUUUCUUCUACAAAUUGAAACUAUCUUUCAUCCAACUCAAUUUCUUCAUUACUCUCUCAAUAAUCAUAAAAGUGCUGAAGAAUUACUAAAAGGAAUUCCUAAAAUUAACAUUUUUUUUACUAUUCAUCCUAAUACUUCUGCAAAAGGAAAUACAUAGAAAAGUGGCCUUAUUAGAACUUGCUAUAACUCACACAGUUUAUCAUUAUUUUAUCACUUCAAAUUAUUUUAUUUCAUUGCACUACAAUACUGAAUAUGAUAGAACUAAUUUGGCUUUUGAAUAACAGAAAUGGCAUUUUACUUGCAGCAGUGACAUGUGUUAGAUCCACCUACAGUAAAUUCACAGGUAUUGGAAUUGUGAUCAAGAGCUCAGGAAAUCAGAGUCUUCAUACUACAUAUGCAUAGACUUUGUGAAUGGUGACUUAUAGAUUUUAAAAGUUACAAAGUAGCUUAAGCUUCUACUGUUUCAUUAGCAGUGUCUUACAGUGAUCACUAAAUAAAUGUUGCUUUAAAAACUUCUUAGCAGCGCAUUCCACUCACGCAUAUAAUUAGUUUUUGUUUUUGUAGUUUAACUCAUAUGAUUACAAUCUUUAUAAUUUUCUUAUUUUUCAUUAAUAAUAACCAUGUAGCAAUGCCAUAGUGCCAUUUCAUACAUGACAUUGGCCAGACUACUCAGCUGCUUGUGCAAAAUAAUAGUGUUGCAGGUAUAUUAAGAACUAAACAUCUAGAACAUAACAGGAAAUCUUUGUGUAACAACCAUGGUAUUACUGGUCAAGAAAAAAGGAAUAUCUCCUUUUUUUAAAUUUUCUUUCACUGAACAGUGGCUAUCACUUUUCUUAACUGAGAUAAACAUAUUAUGUAUAUGAUAUGAUUUUUUUCAAGCUUUCAGUAUUUUGAAGACAGCCAGUAUACAUUGUUGCCACUGAUAAGGGAUUAAAUUGAUUACAAAAAGUAUAGUACAGUACUUAAAUUUCAAUAUAAUUUUAAUGAGAAAUAGCUUUUGACACUGCCCUUUGUACAACCAAACUACCUCGGAGACUAUCAUAUUGUAAGUGCUUGCAUACUAAUUUAGUCUGUGUCAUCACUGCAAAUGCAUGAAAUAGUUUAUCAGGGGACAGUUAUGAGUAUUUGAUGAAUUACAAUUCUUCUACUCUAAUCUGUUCAUUGAAAUUUAUUUUUCGUUAUUGUACUUUCAGAUUUAGUUAGGCUAUUGGAAAAUUCUGGUGAUUAUUUGGUGCCCAUCUGAAUUUGAAGUUCAAAAUUAGCACAUGCAGUAUACAUGAAGAAGUAUUCAAGUAGUGUGCUCCCGAAAGCUUCAUAACAUGCUUCAGUGUCUACUGUUAUGAAAUAUCUCAUUCAUUGUAAGUUGAUGUGUCUAACUUAUUGCUUCUCAAGAAAAAUAUUUGUGUUUGAUUCCCUACACCCAUUACCUAAAGUACCCAUCACACCACUUAUGGUCAAUUUCUCAACAAGCUCAUAACCUAGCCAAAGCAACAUCACCAUAAUAAAUGAAAUGGAACUGAUUUUAAAGGUAGAACUACAAUGAAGAUGAGAAUGUCCACAGAAUAAUGAAUAUACACGCACAAAGGAUACACUUAGUUCAUGGGGCAUUUAUAGACUGCUUUUUUAAACAACCUAAAAUUUUGCUGUAAUUUCCUAAUUGAGUGCCAAUUUCAAGUAAGCAUGGGAAGUCUGAUCUGAUGUGAAAUGGUGUUAGAAAUUUUUGCUGAUGAAAUAGGAAGUAUGUGCCUCAUAUUUGUGCUAAAGUAAUGGUCUCUGCAACACAAAACUGAUUCACUGAUCAGUAACAUUAAAAUACCUCCUAUGUCCAUAUUUAAUAUAGUAAUUUAUUGUGCUGUACUUUUGCAUGGUUUGUUUCCAUCCCAUAUGAUUUUGGAUACAAAGUGUCAGUUACUUAGCCGAAAUGCUUAGCAUAAAAAUUUUGUUCGAUGCAUACUGAAUUAAUGAUAUUUGAAAUUAGCAACAACAUUUCAGAAUUAUAAUUUGCAAAAUUAACUUCUGUUAGCAAAAAGGUUUAAAAUGAAUGUGCACACACAGAGCUCAAUCAAUCACAGGUACCUAAUAAUACCUACAGAAAUACUGCAGCAGUGUGUAACAAGAUGCAUCACUCAAAGUAUAUGUACAAUAAGAAGUAUUUCUUAGCUUCCAUAACUCAGAUACAAAAACUUUCCCCAAUUAUUUCUACAUGCAAAAAAAGAUCUGCUUUGAUGACCUUUGUUCAUCAGUGUUACAAGGUUCUGGUGAAAAAACCUGAAAUAAAUAUGAAUACAUUUUAAUUUAAAUUCUUACUGUCAGGGUAUUCAGUUUUGAUAGCUUUAGUAUGUCCAAAGUGUUUAUUAUUAUUGUUCCUCUUUUUUCAGCAACAAUUACUCACCAUUUCAUCUGUUGUAAGUGGCUGUUCCCUAUAAUAGCCUACUGACUACAUAAAUAAAUAUACCAUUAUAAGUUUUCCUCUGGCUGGCUGUCUCCCUCUCUCUCAUACUUCAAAAAAAAAAAAAAUGGUAGAUGACUGUCUCUAGCUACAAUGGAAAGCAGGCUCUUAGAGUAACAGCAAUUAGAUUCCAGUACCAUUCACAAAAAAUUGAUGUUGAAACACUAAUAUUCUAUAAUGGCAACAUUUAUCUUGUAGCUAAGCUUAUCAACUCUUUACAGAAACAUCCUGGUGCUAGAUUACAGUACUUGGUGGAAGACUGUGAUACAGGCUUCUUCAGAAAUGCCUGAGUGAACUCAUCCAUAAAAAUUGAGUAAGAGUGUUGAUAAACAACAUACAUUGCUCUUACACCACAAUAAAGCUUGUUACAUUUGCAACAAAAUCACAAAUACAGCAAAAGUUAGGUGAAUCUGCGUAUGACAGUGAAAAGACUAUCCACACAUAGUUCACAAUUUUCAAAAAUUUCCUCUUUAAACAGUAUGAAAGGGCAACAAAGCAAUAUGAUAAAGUUGUAGGAUUGUACUACAUAAAAACGCGAAUAAAAUAUCUGAGAUUUCAUCUACAUAAGACUUACUUAAAUGUAUGACAUCUUGUUCAGUACUCCGAUAUACUUGUAGGAAGUCAAUGUACCUUCUUUAAAUUAGAUAUUUAUAUUCACUAAGAGUUCACCAAAGAGCAAGCUUGAUAAACAUUUUCUAUUUCGCCAGUAUGUGUUAUAUAGCAAACAAAUUCAUUUCUUAUCAUACUGAUACACAAAAUUAUUUUGAACAUAUGCUACUGUAUGUUAAAAGAAGCCAAUUUUGGCAGAAAAUUUGGUGCUGACUAGACAAUUGGUUUUGACAACAAUAAAACAUGUUCUUGAGCUGGAAAUCUCUCUGUUAUAAUCAUACAGUAGCUGUGUGGCACUAAGAGACCUAAGUUCAUGGUUACUACAGAAAUACUGUGAACCAGUUUCUUUGCUAGAGAAGACAACUCCUUGGAUUUUUCAAUAAUAAUAAUAUCAUUUCAUUCUUUCCUGAAAAAAUCUUGACUCAUAGCAAUGUGCCACAAGUUUUGUUUCAUACUACAUUUCCAUACACAAAACACUCACAUGCAUCUUCCUUAGAACAGAAGUACAAUGCGUACUUCACUCAAAUGGAAUGUCUUAUGGCAAUACAAUACAUGUCAGAAAUGAAGAACAUUUGUUGUGUAUACUAUGAAUACUAACAGAUUCAUAAAACAAUACAUAUUUUUUAAUGAAGAGAAGAUACACAGAAGCCUGCAUGGAAUUAUUGUUGAGGCAACACUUAUUUAUUUUUCUGCCUAUCUCUAUGUUUUUCUGUUGCUAAACACUUUUGCGUUCUCUUUGAGAAGUAAACAUUAACACUGAAUCACAGUUCACUUUACUGAUGUAUUCACACAUGGGACAGAUCACAGUGAAAUAAAUAUAUUUGUUUUACAGCUCACGUAUUCACAGCACCUUUGCAAAAAAGCUGAGCGAUUAACAGCAAAAGCAUUCACACUGUUCCUUAUAUAGCUGCGUUUUAAUAACACUGUAGCUUAGAAACCUCUGACCUUCAUGCAGCAACGUAGUAUGCUGAUAUGCCAAAAACUUCAUGAAAUACAUUGAUCCAUUAACAGGUGUGCCAGUUCUGUAACUGAGAUAAGACAAAAAUAUUUUACUUGUAGAAGUUCUUGUUUAAGACAGAAACCUAUACACAGCAGUUUCCCUACAAGCAAUUUUUUAAAAUGCUAGUUCAUUUCACUGACUUGUUUCAAACAUUAUUAUCAAAAAAUAUUACCUCAGCCAUAACCUUUCAACAAUUUUAAUAGUUUCUUAACCAUAUGAAAGUACAACAGAAUCACUCAGCAGCUGUUUCACAGGUUGGCAAAACAUAUCUUAUCGUUCACUGGGCAGCCUUAAUACUCACCAUGUACUUAAGUACAGCAAGAUCCUCUUACAAAAUUCAGAUGUCAAGAUACCAUUAGCAAUUCUACAAUUAUUAAAUAAUGUUGUCUGUGUUUUAGUAGAUCAACUCAAUACCUAGGCUACAAAACUGACAGAGUAGGAAACUGCCACUUACAACAGGCUGGUAGGCAAGAAUCGUAAAGCUGCUUGGAGACUGUGUGACUGAAGUGAUUGAUCUCUAAGACUGUGUGUGUGCUUGUGUAUUUAUGUGUGCAUUCUCUGUCAUGUGCACUUGUACAUGUUCCUGUGUAUUAUAUGUAGGAUUAAAAAAUGGAGUUAAAUGCAUUUAUGCAGAGACUGGUAUUACUACAUGUUGAAAAUAUUCUAUGUGUGGAUUGUAGACUGAGAGAUAUGAAUAGCAUCUGUUCUUGUUAUAACUGACAAUCAGGAAAAAUCUGAUGCUUAUUGUUGCAAUCUGCUGCACUAAAAAUCAUCCUUUAAGUGUACUAUAGGUUAGUGAGGUAUGUUAUGAAGAUAAUUUGGAUUGUUGUUAGUUUGACUGACUGUGUGGGAAAAAUACUGUAAGGAAAAUGAAGUAUUAGAAUAGAGUUCACAGUAAUAACUGCUAGACAGUAAUAAAGAAAGACACUGUUUCCAGUUAUAUGAAUUUUACACUUGGCCAUGUUUGCUGGAUUAUUAUUAUUAUUGUUAUUAUUAUUACGUAAGAGGUUGAAACUUUGUUAUCCAUCUUAGAUUGGUGACACUUAUUUGUAUCACUGUGAGCAAUUUAUGUCUGAAGCUGUCUUUAAAAGAUGAGAUUUAUUUCAGGCUUACUUAUUAACAUAAAGCCAUAGCAAAAGUUCUUCUAUUUCUGGCAAAAAUAUAACAAUACCUUUUCAACACAUUUGUAUGGCAUGUAGCUUCUUACAUAACACAAACAUGGAUUUCAUUACAUGCACAGAGAUUUAUUUGGUAAAGAAAUGCAACAAAGCUGCAGGUACUUCUUGGAGUUUCUGUGGUGAGCAACAUUAGAGUAAACUAUUGAUAAGCUCACAGUCCUUUGAAGAACUGUUGCAUAGCACAUAUAUGAACACUGAGAUUUGUACCAUAAUGGGCCUUUUACCAUAAUGGGCAUUUUCUAUUUCUGUUUUCCCUCAUAUGUCACCUUUGUUCUAGACAUCAUUCAUGACAUUCAUUAGCCAGUACCUGCAUUUUCAACUUCUGUAAACCAUGUCAUUCUGCACACAACAAUAAUAUUGUUGUAUUUUCUUUACUGCAGAACAGUUCUCUCUUACAUCUCAGUACCCAACUUUAAAAAUUUCUGAAUGAGAAAAAUACACUGAGUGUACCAAUUCAUUCAAUUGUUUUUAUUCUUUUAUCUGUUAGACAGAUAACUGAUGGCAUUGCAGUGCAUAAAACUGAAUCAUUGUAAAGGUUGAAUUAAGUUUCCUCCUUGCAGUCUACUUUUCAGUACAUGAGUCACACUGAACACACAUUUUGGUUGGGAAUUUAUGGAUGGGCAAACAUGAAAUUAUUUCACAAGAUUAUGAGCAGUUUUCAUAUUUUAUGUAUUUUCUUUCCUUAUUAUUGUGUAAACACAUUUACUGUUUACUUAACAUUAUCAACCAGCUUGUAUUUUGUAUGUCUAUUUUAUACAAGGAAAUUUCUUCAUAUUUAUAAUUUUCUUCUGAGCUCAUUUUGUACAGCAUAUUACUAUAGCUCCCUAACUGUUGCAUAAUGUAUGUGACUACUGGGUCUAAACAGCUAGUCAGCUAGUUAUGAGAAGAUUGCAAAUCAGCUUUUUUCUUCUCAAAUAUUCAGAAAUUGGCGGCAGCCUUGCUAAUCAAUACGUAAUUAUUAUUCAGUAAUUAGGUUUUGGAGCAAACAUACUGUACUGUAGAUAGAAAAUGAUAGUUAUGGGUCAUGAUUAAUGACCUCUAAUGUCUGACAUGUUGAAAUAAAUGAAAUUUUAUAAAGACAGCUGGUAAGAAAAUGAAGGGGGAGAUGUCAUUUGGGUGAAAGGGAUAGAUAGCAGUACUGAAGUGAACUGAAUUUGCUUAGCUUAAAUAAAUAAACUUACUGCAUUUGGCAUUGUAAUUUAUUACAGGUAAACAAAACAGAAAAUAUAAAUACUGAAUGUAAGUUCAGCACUCAUGGCUGUUCAUAUAUAACCAAUGGUUUGGCACUUCCAAACAUCAGCAUACCACACAAUGCCAAAUGACAUGUCUUUGUAGUAUGUAUGAAACUGGUAAUAUAGAAAUGCUUGUUAUUCAAUUUAUUUUCAUUUCAAGUCCAUAUUGUGUUUUUAUGAGCAAUUUUCAAUGUAAUACUGGAUCUUUUUCUACAAAAUGUAACAUUUUGUAUUCAAAAGAUGUCAGACUUCGUAUUGUUUCAUGCAAAUGCUCUUACAAAAGAAUCUCAUAGUUAAUUAGUUCCAUAGGUACUGGCAUAAUCAAGUGAAUCACCCACUCUGCUGGAAGAAGGUACAAUGCAAAGAGAAAGCUUCAGUGAAAUUGAUUCCACAUAUUCUGUUUUGUGAAAUUAGAAUUCUUAUUUACUUCUAAUUUUGUAUGUCACCAGUUGUGGAAAUAGUGAUGGCAGUGAGUGGCUUUUCCAGGCAUUGGCAUCCAAUGCUCUUGUCAUGGAUAUAAACAUAAACUAUAGUGUAAAAUCAUCUAAGACAGAAACCAACUUCAUAAGUUCUGGGGUUGUGAUCACCUUUUUUUCUGGUGUGAUUUGUAAAUGAAAAGUACCAGAAGAAACAGACAAAGACUAAUCUACUUUGCAAAUGAAAAGCUCACUUGAAUCUUCACUGCCCAAUUGUUGUUUACAAAGAAAAAGAUGUUAAUUAAAACAUAAAAACAUUGGUAAGUAAAUAAAAGACCAUAUUAAUUAUAAAAUAAAUAACUAAAACCAA